This 21-nucleotide non-coding RNA is filed under the name Caenorhabditis elegans. The record is from RNAcentral. Lineage: Eukaryota; Metazoa; Nematoda; Chromadorea; Rhabditida; Rhabditidae.
UGUAAAUCGAACAAAGCCUAA